Molecule: ribosomal RNA, 468 nt
Filed under: uncultured bacterium
Lineage: Bacteria
Description: partial 16S ribosomal RNA
Rfam family: Bacterial small subunit ribosomal RNA (bases 52-468)
Source: RNAcentral
GGGGGGGGGGGGGGGGGGGGUGGGGGCGGGCGGGGGGGGGGGGGGGGCGGGGCGGGGGGGGGGUGCGCGAGGGGCGGGCGGGUGGGGAACACGUGGGUGGCCUGCCCGUGACGGUGGUGUGACGUCAGGAAACGGGGGCGAAUACCUGAUCUGGGCUCCUUCUGCAUGGUGGGGGAUGGAAAGUUUCGGCGGUGGGGGAUGGACUCGCGGCUUAUCAGCUUGUUGGUGGGGUAGUGGCUUACCAAGGCUUUGACGGGUAGCCGGCCUGAGAGGGUGACCGGCCACAUUGGGACUGAGAUACGGCACAGACUCCUACGGGAGGCAGCAGUGGGGAAUAUUGCACAAUGGGCGGAAGCCUGAUGCAGCAACGCCGCGUGCGGGAUGACGGCCUUCGGGUUGUAAACCGCUUUCGCCUGUGACGAAGCGUGAGUGACGGUAAUGGGUAAAGAAGCACCGGCUAACUACGUG